This 348-nucleotide long non-coding RNA is filed under the name Capsicum annuum. RNAcentral's name for it is "long non-coding RNA (CANN_LNC006577)". The record is from RNAcentral. Lineage: Eukaryota; Viridiplantae; Streptophyta; Magnoliopsida; Solanales; Solanaceae.
UAUUUUAUAUGAUGUUUGCGCUAUUUCAAACUUUUCUUAGAACAUGGUUUUUUUUACCCUAUGUUUUUUAAUUAUGAUUUGUCCAAAUCGGUAGUCGGUAUGCUAGUUUGCUCAUCGUAUUAUUAAACACGUAGUAAUCCUUAUCUCUCUUUCUCUUUGCAUGAAUUCUUCCGGAUGAGUUCAAUUGGACUCCCCAUAUCCCUGCAUUUGAACGUUGUCGAGUCGAGCCCCAUUAAAGUCCAAAAUCGAACUGAUAUACAUAGGAUAUCACAUGUAUAUGGACUGGUAUACAUUGAUAGAAAUUGUGUAUAUAUUGAAAAUCUCGUUUUUUUUACUUAUUCAUUAUUG